CUUUUUCUUUCCAAUUUGCAAAUUGAACUUAUAUGAGAAAAUAUUCACUCUAUGAUUCUAUUACACAGAUCAGUGAAGGAUAAGUUUUCAACUGUUGGAUGUGUUUCUUCCAAAAUGAGCACUGUAUUGCUUUUGAGUUCGCUCAUCAAGCUAGAGGAAUCAUUUUUUUGUUUUUUACGCACCUGAAAUUCUAAUAAAUUGGGAAGUGAGAAACAAAUUCAAAGAGAUUUUAAAUGCAUUGGCAGAAGUUUGAGCUGGGCUGUUACAUGCACCAUGUUGAAACCUUAUUUAAUUAAAGGAGAAUUCUGGGUGCAUAUGUUCUUGCCAUCAAUGGCUCAUCAAGUAUGAGGAAUCACAUGGAUGCUUGGCAGGUCAUGCUUCUAAGUCCUCUCUAUCUUAUUUUUAUGAUUAUUAUUGUUUUAUAAUUCUGCCUUCCUUUGAAUUUCACAAAA
Manihot esculenta (cassava) is the source of this 452-nucleotide long non-coding RNA. RefSeq lists it as uncharacterized. The transcript is spliced from 3 exons. The record is from RefSeq and is a predicted model, not a curated record. NCBI's taxonomy places the organism in Eukaryota, Viridiplantae, Streptophyta, Magnoliopsida, Malpighiales, Euphorbiaceae.